RNAcentral lists this long non-coding RNA (1515 nucleotides) under Homo sapiens (human). RNAcentral's name for it is "HSALNT0029062". The record is from RNAcentral. Lineage: Eukaryota; Metazoa; Chordata; Mammalia; Primates; Hominidae.
CAUCAAAACCCCCGACCCCCAGCACCUCACAGUUCACAGCUGCACAGAGACGUGCACAUAGCAGCCAUUCCAGCCGGUGCCCGGCUCCCCACUCCCCUUCUGAGGGAGAAGGCAUCUUGGCCCUGAUUGUGGGACCAGCAAUUAGAGUUUAUUUGCUUUGCUAUUCAGCCAAGCCCUGGAAUGAAUUUGGCCACCACAGACAGCCUUUGGGGUCCAGCUCCUCAGGGACUUUGAGACACAGAAGAAGCCCCCCAUUGGGUUUUUCUUAUUUACACUGUCCUGGGGGAGGUGUCUAAUCGCUGGCUACAGAGGAGGGGCUGCUUCAGCCCCAGGUGUACUUGAACCGGGCUGUGUUCCCCUUGCAGUUAGGUCCUGAUUCACCCAUUGAAGGACAAUAAGGGCCUUGUCCCUUAAUGGAGGGCCCUUGAUCAAAUCUAAGAGGUGCUGGAAUGUUGGAGAAGGUCCCCGCCUUGGUCUAAGGUCCCCAUCCCAGAUCCUGUCACUGAGGGGCUCUCACCCCCGUCCCACCCCUGCCCCAGCAGGCAGGAGCCUCCUGGGAGGUAGGAAGCAGCAGCCUUGUGGGAGCAGACCCUCCAGACCCUCAAAGACCACCCCAGGCAUGUGGCUUCAGCACCCAUGCCCAGCAUCCACUUCCGGCCUGGGGCCCCGAAACAUAGGGAUUCCUGGAAGAGUUGUCUGGUCCUAGGUCAUUCCCUCCCAUCGUCUUCUAGAAACAGCUUCAGGGGUAGAUGCUGCAUCCACCCUACCAAGCCAGCCUAGGCAGAAUGCAGAAGGUGCCUGCUGCACACAGCUUCUUCUCCCAGGCUCCGCCCUCCACAGACUCCUUCAGGAUCCCCAGGUUUAUGUCUUCCCCGCCCCUCAGUCUCCACAUGGACCACAAGCAGGCUGUGUCGUGGAAAAACCAGGGCUUGGGAGUCAGAAAGACCUGAAUUCAAAUUCUGGCUGUGUUACUUCCCAACUAUGUAAGCUUGGGCAACUUUCUCACCUUCUCUGAGCCUCAAUAUCUUUAUCAGUAAAGUGGGGAUAAUAACACCUCUUCCCUCACAAGUGAUCGUGUGGACAAAACGACGCCAAGUCAGGGCUCUGAUGAAAAUUCCUUUCCAAUCACACCCAGUGCAAUUAUUCUGGGGUCAUUUCCCCUUCAUUCUUAGACCGGCGCAAUUGGACUUCCUUGCUUAUACCAGUGGAAUCUGGUGGGAGGUCUCUGUACCUGAGUGACCUGCCACUAAGACUAGGGAACCCUACAUUCCUCAACUCCAUUUGCCCCACCUUGGGGAGAAGGUAGCUGGACCUGCCAGGUAGCCGGACACCACUUUUCCUUGGCUUGAGUCCCUGGGACAGAGCUUUCCGCAGGCCCUCAGGACACAAUGCUGUGUGACCUUCAGGGGGCAUUUCCUGCUGUGGCCGAGUGUCCCUGGGAUCCAGAGGAGAGAUGGGUAGCAUGGUCAUGGCUAAAGAUUUUAUUCCAAGCAAGCCAGGCUGGUCACGACCCAG